ACCGGGGGAACUGAAACAUCUAAGUACCCCGAGGAAAAGAAAUCAACCGAGAUUCCCCCAGUAGCGGCGAGCGAACGGGGAGGAGCCCAGAGCCUGAAUCAGUGUGUGUGUUAGUGGAAGCGUCUGGAAAGGCGUGCGAUACAGGGUGACAGCCCCGUACACAAAAAUGCACAUAUUGUGAGCUCGAUGAGUAGGGCGGGACACGUGGUAUCCUGUCUGAAUAUGGGGGGACCAUCCUCCAAGGCUAAAUACUCCUGACUGACCGAUAGUGAACCAGUACCGUGAGGGAAAGGCGAAAAGAACCCCGGCGAGGGGAGUGAAAAAGAACCUGAAACCGUGUACGUACAAGCAGUGGGAGCCUCUUAAUGGGGUGACUGCGUACCUUUUGUAUAAUGGGUCAGCGACUUAUAUUCUGUAGCAAGGUUAACCGAAUAGGGGAGCCGAAGGGAAACCGAGUCUUAACUGGGCGUUAAGUUGCAGGGUAUAGACCCGAAACCCGGUGAUCUAGCCAUGGGCAGGUUGAAGGUUGGGUAACACUAACUGGAGGACCGAACCGACUAAUGUUGAAAAAUUAGCGGAUGACUUGUGGCUGGGGGUGAAAGGCCAAUCAAACCGGGAGAUAGCUGGUUCUCCCCGAAAGCUAUUUAGGUAGCGCCUCGUGAAUUCAUCUCCGGGGGUAGAGCACUGUUUCGGCAAGGGGGUCAUCCCGACUUACCAACCCGAUGCAAACUGCGAAUACCGGAGAAUGUUAUCACGGGAGACACACGGCGGGUGCUAACGUCCGUCGUGAAGAGGGAAACAACCCAGACCGCCAGCUAAGGUCCCAAAGUCAUGGUUAAGUGGGAAACGAUGUGGGAAGGCCCAGACAGCCAGGAUGUUGGCUUAGAAGCAGCCAUCAUUUAAAGAAAGCGUAAUAGCUCACUGGUCGAGUCGGCCUGCGCGGAAGAUGUAACGGGGCUAAACCAUGCACCGAAGCUGCGGCAGCGACACUAUGUGUU
RNAcentral lists this ribosomal RNA (998 nucleotides) under Escherichia coli. RNAcentral's name for it is "partial 23S ribosomal RNA". It matches the Rfam family "Bacterial large subunit ribosomal RNA", at positions 183 to 1222 of the family's 2925-position model. Lineage: Bacteria; Pseudomonadati; Pseudomonadota; Gammaproteobacteria; Enterobacterales; Enterobacteriaceae. The record is from RNAcentral.